This is a long non-coding RNA of Engraulis encrasicolus (European anchovy), 344 nucleotides long. RefSeq lists it as uncharacterized. Lineage: Eukaryota; Metazoa; Chordata; Actinopteri; Clupeiformes; Engraulidae. The transcript is spliced from 3 exons. The record is from RefSeq and is a predicted model, not a curated record.
GUUUGAAAAGAAGUUUGAGUUUUAGGUGGUAGAGUUGGACAGCAGUACCUUCAAUGCACUGGGAACUAACGUGCUCUCCCCCUCUCUCUCUUCUCUCUUAAUCAGGGCCCAGGUCUUGUGUCCACAUCUGUCCAAGCUCCUACUCUGAUUGAACAGUUGGAUGAUCAGACUGAUGAUGAAAAGUGCUACACAGUUCUCACACAUCUUCUACCUCCGAAGCCGCUGCAGUGUAAAAUCUGAGAUGUCUUUUCUGGUUGAUUUUGUGCAGAUUUCUGACAGCGAUGGUGAGGGAAGCAGUGUACCGAACUCUCAGAUGACUCGGACCAGGUGACCAAACCCAUGCA